AUCUUCAGGGCGGGGUGCAAUUCCCCACUGGCGGUACAGUCCGCGACCCGCUGUUCUGCAGCGGCUGAACCGGUGCAACUCCGGUACCAACAGUUACAGUCUGGAUGGAAGAAGAA
RNAcentral lists this non-coding RNA (116 nucleotides) under chicken gut metagenome. RNAcentral's name for it is "FMN riboswitch (RFN element)". It matches the Rfam family "FMN riboswitch aptamer (RFN element)". Rfam says of the family: The RFN element is a highly conserved domain that is found frequently in the 5'-untranslated regions of prokaryotic mRNAs that encode for flavin mononucleotide (FMN) biosynthesis and transport proteins. The record is from RNAcentral.